AGGAGCUUACAAGGCAUCUACUCG
This 24-nucleotide non-coding RNA is filed under the name Arabidopsis thaliana (thale cress). Lineage: Eukaryota; Viridiplantae; Streptophyta; Magnoliopsida; Brassicales; Brassicaceae. The record is from RNAcentral.